Molecule: ribosomal RNA, 394 nt
Filed under: Olpidiopsis sp.
Lineage: Eukaryota; Oomycota; Olpidiopsidales; Olpidiopsidaceae
Description: partial small subunit ribosomal RNA
Rfam family: Eukaryotic small subunit ribosomal RNA
Source: RNAcentral
AGCUCCAAUAGCGUAUAUUAAAGUUGUUGCAGUUAAAAAGCUCGUAGUUGGAUUUCUGUUUCUUACGUCCGGUCCGUCUGUUCUGCAGAUGCGUACUAGUGAUGUUGGAUUCAUUUUUUGUGAGACUGUUGUACUGGCAUUAAGUUGUUGGUGUAAUGGGCUUGCAUCGUUUACUGUGAAAAAAUUAGAGUGUUUAAAGCAGGCGUUCGCUUCUGAAUACAUUAGCAUGGAAUAAUAAGAUAUGACUUGUGUGGUCUAUUUUGUUGGUUUGCACACGCGAGUAAUGAUUAAUAGGGACAGUUGGGGGUAUUCAUAUUUCAGCGUCAGAGGUGAAAUUCUUGGAUCGCUGAAAGAUGAGCUUAGGCGAAAGCAUUUAUCAUGGAUGUUUUCAUUA